RNAcentral lists this ribosomal RNA (424 nucleotides) under uncultured Raoultibacter sp. RNAcentral describes it as "bacterial SSU rRNA". It matches the Rfam family "Bacterial small subunit ribosomal RNA", at positions 338 to 776 of the family's 1533-position model. Lineage: Bacteria; Bacillati; Actinomycetota; Coriobacteriia; Eggerthellales; Eggerthellaceae. The record is from RNAcentral.
CCUACGGGAGGCAGCAGUGGGGAAUAUUGGGCAAUGGGCGAAAGCCUGACCCAGCAACGCCGCGUGAAGGAAGAAGGCCCUCGGGUUGUAAACUUCUUUUGUCAGGGACGAAGCAAGUGACGGUACCUGACGAAUAAGCCACGGCUAACUACGUGCCAGCAGCCGCGGUAAUACGUAGGUGGCAAGCGUUAUCCGGAUUUACUGGGUGUAAAGGGCGUGUAGGCGGGAGUGCAAGUCAGAUGUGAAAACUAUGGGCUCAACCCAUAGCCUGCAUUUGAAACUGUACUUCUUGAGUGAUGGAGAGGCAGGCGGAAUUCCCUGUGUAGCGGUGAAAUGCGUAGAUAUAGGGAGGAACACCAGUGGCGAAGGCGGCCUGCUGGACAUUAACUGACGCUGAGGCGCGAAAGCGUGGGGAGCAAACAGG